CUCAGGAUGAACGCUAGCUACAGGCUUAACACAUGCAAGUCGAGGGGCAGCAUGGUCUUAGCUUGCUAAGACUGAUGGCGACCGGCGCACGGGUGAGUAACACGUAUCCAACCUGCCGUCUACUCUUGGACAGCCUUCUGAAAGGAAGAUUAAUACAAGAUGGCAUCAUGAGUCCGCAUGUUCACAUGAUUAAAGGUAUUCCGGUAGACGAUGGGGAUGCGUUCCAUUAGAUAGUAGGCGGGGUAACGGCCCACCUAGUCUUCGAUGGAUAGGGGUUCUGAGAGGAAGGUCCCCCACAUUGGAACUGAGACACGGUCCAAACUCCUACGGGAGGCAGCAGUGAGGAAUAUUGGUCAAUGGGCGAGAGCCUGAACCAGCCAAGUAGCGUGAAGGAUGACUGCCCUAUGGGUUGUAAACUUCUUUUAUAAAGGAAUAAAGUCGGGUAUGCAUACCCGUUUGCAUGUACUUUAUGAAUAAGGAUCGGCUAACUCCGUGCCAGCAGCCGCGGUAAUACGGAGGAUCCGAGCGUUAUCCGGAUUUAUUGGGUUUAAAGGGAGCGUAGAUGGAUGUUUAAGUCAGUUGUGAAAGUUUGCGGCUCAACCGUAAAAUUGCAGUUGAUACUGGAUAUCUUGAGUGCAGUUGAGGCAGGCGGAAUUCGUGGUGUAGCGGUGAAAUGCUUAGAUAUCACGAAGAACUCCGAUUGCGAAGGCAGCCUGCUAAGCUGCAACUGACAUUGAGGCUCGAAAGUGUGGGUAUCAAACAGGAUUAGAUACCCUGGUAGUCCACACGGUAAACGAUGAAUACUCGCUGUUUGCGAUAUACUGCAAGCGGCCAAGCGAAAGCGUUAAGUAUUCCACCUGGGGAGUACGCCGGCAACGGUGAAACUCAAAGGAAUUGACGGGGGCCCGCACAAGCGGAGGAACAUGUGGUUUAAUUCGAUGAUACGCGAGGAACCUUACCCGGGCUUAAAUUGCAGAUGAAUUACGGUGAAAGCCGUAAGCCGCAAGGCAUCUGUGAAGGUGCUGCAUGGUUGUCGUCAGCUCGUGCCGUGAGGUGUCGGCUUAAGUGCCAUAACGAGCGCAACCCUUGUUGUCAGUUACUAACAGGUUCCGCUGAGGACUCUGACAAGACUGCCAUCGUAAGAUGUGAGGAAGGUGGGGAUGACGUCAAAUCAGCACGGCCCUUACGUCCGGGGCUACACACGUGUUACAAUGGGGGGUACAGAGGGCCGCUACCACGCGAGUGGAUGCCAAUCCCCAAAACCUCUCUCAGUUCGGACUGGAGUCUGCAACCCGACUCCACGAAGCUGGAUUCGCUAGUAAUCGCGCAUCAGCCACGGCGCGGUGAAUACGUUCCCGGGCCUUGUACACACCGCCCGUCAAGCCAUGGGAGCCGGGGGUACCUGAAGUGCGUAACCGCGAGGAG
This 1425-nucleotide ribosomal RNA is filed under the name uncultured organism. RNAcentral's name for it is "16S ribosomal RNA". It matches the Rfam family "Bacterial small subunit ribosomal RNA". The record is from RNAcentral.